Molecule: ribosomal RNA, 497 nt
Filed under: uncultured bacterium
Lineage: Bacteria
Description: partial 16S ribosomal RNA
Rfam family: Bacterial small subunit ribosomal RNA
Source: RNAcentral
GAUGAACGCUGGCGGCGUGCCUAAUACAUGCAAGUCGAGCGAACAGAUAAGGAGCUUGCUCCUUUGACGUUAGCGGCGGACGGGUGAGUAACACGUGGAUAACCUACCUAUAAGACUGGGAUAACUUCGGGAAACCGGAGCUAAUACCGGAUAACAUAUUGAACCGCAUGGUUCAAUAGUGAAAGGCGGCUUUGCUGUCACUUAUAGAUGGAUCCGCGCCGUAUUAGCUAGUUGGUAAGGUAACGGCUUACCAAGGCAACGAUACGUAGCCGACCUGAGAGGGUGAUCGGCCACACUGGAACUGAGACACGGUCCAGACUCCUACGGGAGGCAGCAGUAGGGAAUCUGCCGCAAUGGGCGAAAGCCUGACGGAGCAACGCCGCGUGAGUGAUGAAGGUCUUCGGAUCGUAAAACUCUGUUAUCAGGGAAGAACAAAUGUGUAAGUAACUGUGCACAUCUUGACGGUACCUGAUCAGAAGGCCACGGCUAACUACGUG